Molecule: long non-coding RNA, 1805 nt
Organism: Falco peregrinus (peregrine falcon)
Lineage: Eukaryota; Metazoa; Chordata; Aves; Falconiformes; Falconidae
Exons: 5
Source: RefSeq, a predicted model, not a curated record
GAAGCGGAAGAUCACAAUUCCCUGUUUUGUGGAAAGGAUUUGGCCACCUGAUUCCCAUUUCAGUGGAAGGAAUGUUGGUGUUGCCCUGCGGAGCCCUGAGCCAUUGGCUGUGACCGGACUGCAGGCUGGCGGAGCAAGUCUUGUUGCGCAACGUGUUUCUCUACUUUUGCAGUGGAGUGGACAGAAGUCCUGGGAAGAUGAGAAUGCAACCAGAAUCUUGUAGACUUCAGCUGAGGUCUGAGGACCUUGCAGCUUUUGUCCAUUCAGCAUCUCAUUUUCCAGCUCCUCGAUGGACUAGAAGAGAGGAGACUUGAUUAUUUGGAUCAGAGGGGAUACUGCUGUGAUGCCAGCAGUUAUCAAGAAGGUUGGAAAACUGGCACAUGAACUACACAUCUUGUCUGUGCUCACUCAAUCACCCAGUGGCAGGACUCAGACCCUGUGGCUUACAGAAGACUCAGGGAGAUCCACAGAUGACUAAGUUGAAUGUUGGCACUGCUGGAACAGGUUUGUUACCAGUUCUACAGAAGUCAUGCAUCACGUUGCUACAGUGCUCGCCCUAGGUACCAAGAGCAAGGGUAGAGAGAGCCCUCGCUGGCAAAGGAGCUGGGGUCUGCUUUUGUCCGAAGAGCCCAUGGCCAGCUGGGCAAAGACUUUUGACUGGAGUUUCACUUCACUUUUAUACGAGGCAGCUUGGUUUCCUUCAGAGAGAGAGCACAGCAGGGAGUUUUAUUACCCUGAGGCACUGCACGCUGCUAGCUGUGGGGUUUCUGCCCCAUCUCAUGAGAACCUUCGGGUCUGCUUCUUGUUCUUCGCAAUAAUUGAUGUUGCGUGCUACCUGGUCUCCUUGAGGUGGCCGUUUCUGGGCUCUGUGGCUUUCCAUGAGGACACAAACAAGGGGCAAAGCUCUUCACACAGUCAUCUUCACAGCAUGGCUUCAGACUGGGCCAGCAGAAGUUAAAUUCCCCCCAAGAAAAUGAAUAUUGCUCAACUCUCCUUAUCAUAUCCAGUCCUAUCUGUACCUAGCUGCUCUGCCAGAAACAAAUGCCCAGCUGGUACAGUUUUCACUAUUACUGUAACAUUUGCAGGACAAAGGAACAGUAUUGCAGCAACAAUUUUGGGUUUGUUUUUUUUUUGAGGGGGGUGGUGUUGGGUGUUUUUUGGGUUUUUUUGCCUUCCCUAGCUAUGGAAGGAUCUAACUUUAAUUUUGACUAACUUCAAAAAUCAAUGGGUUUUAAAAACUACUGGAUGAACUUUCCAAAUCAGGUCAAACCCAGUUCUGGGAGGAUCUGAAGCUAUGCCUUGGCAAGCAGCCUGAAUGCAAGGGAGGAACAGAAUGUUACUGGGUUUGGUUGUUUUUUUUUUUUUUGUUUUGGUCUUUUGGGUUUUUUUCAAGCAAAGAUAUUUGAAGAUGGAGAAAUACACCUCAGAAAGUGUGAGUGCAUACCAGCUUCUCAUUACACUUUUCUAUCUAGACUGCAUAGUGUGUCAACUGCCAGUGUGUUCAGCGUUGAGCUGUACAGGCAUAAAAGCUGGCUCUUGCCAGCUCCUACAGAAACAGGAUUAAGGUGUGAUUUUUUAAUGGAUUAAAUUAGCUCUCAGCACUGAAACCUGCUGUCAAUUUGGAUCCGAUCCUGCCAGCACCAAGCUCCCUGGAAAUAAUGCUGCCUCCCUGAACAAGCUCAGUGGGCACUGCACCACUCGGGAACCGACUGGGACCUGUUGCACCCCCCUGCUCCCUUCAGAGAGGUUAUCCUGUUGCCCAGCCACGGGUGACAUUAAACCCCAGCUAGCAGCUCUAAUUUGCA